GAUGAACGCUGGCGGCGUGCCUAAUACAUGCAAGUCGAGCGAACGGACGAGAAGCUUGCUUCUCUGAUGUUAGCGGCGGACGGGUGAGUAACACGUGGAUAACCUACCUAUAAGACUGGGAUAACUUCGGGAAACCGGAGCUAAUACCGGAUAAUAUUUUGAACCGCAUGGUUCAAAAGUGAAAGACGGUCUUGCUGUCACUUAUAGAUGGAUCCGCGCUGCAUUAGCUAGUUGGUAAGGUAACGGCUUACCAAGGCAACGAUGCAUAGCCGACCUGAGAGGGUGCUGGGCCACACUGGAACUGAGACACGGUCCAGACUCCUAGGGGGGGCAGCAGGGGGGAAUCUUCCGAAAGGGGCGAAAGCCUGAGGGAGCAACGCCGCGUGAGUGAUGAAGGUCUUCGGAUCGUAAAACUCUGUUAUUGGGGAAAAACAAAUGUGUAAGUAACUGUGCACAUCUUGACGGUACCUAAUAAAAAAGCCACGGCUAACUACGU
RNAcentral lists this ribosomal RNA (496 nucleotides) under uncultured bacterium. RNAcentral's name for it is "partial 16S ribosomal RNA". It matches the Rfam family "Bacterial small subunit ribosomal RNA", at positions 28 to 506 of the family's 1533-position model. The record is from RNAcentral.